Homo sapiens (human) is the source of this 3412-nucleotide long non-coding RNA. Ensembl annotates it as chloride channel accessory 3, pseudogene. Its record names the gene CLCA3P. The record is from Ensembl. Lineage: Eukaryota; Metazoa; Chordata; Mammalia; Primates; Hominidae.
UUUGUUUAACAUGCAAAAAUGGUGUUCAGUCUGAAGGUGAUUCUCUUCCUAUCCUUGCUUCUCUCGCCUGUAUUGAAAAGCUCACUGGUAACUUUGAAUAACAAUGGAUAUGAUGGCAUUGUCAUUGCAAUUAAUCCCAGUGUACCAGAAGAUGAAAAACUCAUUCAAAACAUAAAGGAAAUGGUAACUGAAGCAUCUACUUACCUGUUUCAUGCCACCAAACAAAGAGCUUAUUUCAGGAAUGUAAGCAUUUUAAUUCCAAUGACCUACAAAUCAAAAUCUGAGUACUUAAUCCCAAAACAAGAAUCAUAUGACCAGGCAGAUGUCAUAGUUGCUGAUCUUUACCUGAAAUACGGAGAUGAUCCCUAUACACUUCAAUAUGGACAAUGUGGAGAUAAAGGACAAUAUAUACAUUUUACUCCAAACUUCUUGUUGACUAAUAACUUGGCUACCUAUGGGCCUCGAGGUAGAGUAUUUGUCCAUGAGUGGGCCCAUCUCCGGUGGGGAGUAUUUGAUGAGUAUAAUGUGGACCAGCCAUUCUAUAUUUCCAGAAGAAACACUACUGAAGCAACAAGAUGUUCCACUCGUAUUACUGUUUACAUGGUUUUGAACGAAUGCAAGGGGGCCAGCUGUAUAGCACGACCAUUCAGACGUGACUCAAAGACAGGGCUGUAUGAAGCAAAAUGUACAUUUAUCCCAAAGAGAUCCCAGACUGCCAAGGAAUCCAUUGUGUUUAUGCAAAAUCUUGAUUCUGUGACUGAAUUUUGUACUGAAAAAACACACAAUAAAGAAGCUCCAAACCUAUAGAACAAAAUGUGCAAUCACAGAAGCACAUGGGAUGUAAUCAUGAGCUCUGAAGAUUUUCAGCAUUUAUCUCCCAUGACAGAAAUAAAUUUACCUCGUCCUACAUUUUCAUUGCUCAAGUCCAAACAGCGUGUAGUCUGUUUGGUACUUGAUAAAUCUGGAAGCAUGAAUGCAGAAGACCGUCUCUUUCGAAUGAAUCAAGCAGCAGAAUUGUACUUGAUUCAAAUUAUUGAAAAGGGAUCCUUGGUUGGGUUGGUCACAUUUGACAGUUUUGCUAAAAUCCAAAGUAAGCUCAUAAAAAUAAUUGAUGAUAACACUUACCAAAAGAUCACUGCAAACCUGCCUCAAGAAGCUGAUGGUGGCACUUCAAUUUGCAGGGGACUCAAAGCAGGAUUUCAGGCAAUUCCCCAGAGUAAUCAGAGUACUUUCGGUUCUGAAAUCAUAUUACUAACAGAUGGGGAAGAUUAUCAAAUAAGCUUAUGCUUUGGAGAGGUAAAACAAAGUGGCACAGUCAUCCACACCAUUGCUCUGGGGCCGUCUGCUGACGAAGAACUGGAGACCCUGUCAAAUAUGACAGGAUUACAUAAGGGACACUGAUAUACUGAAAGUUCAUAAAGUGCUGGGAAGUUCAUCUUUUGAGGACAUCGUUUUUAUGCCCAUAAAAACAUAAAUGGCCUUAUUGAUGCUUUCAGCAGAAUUUCAUCUAGAAGUGGCAGCAUCUCUCAGCAGGCUCUUCAGUUGGAAAGUAAAACUUUGAAUAUCCCAGCGAAGAAAUGGAUAAAUGGUACAGUGCCUGUGGAUAGUACAGUUAGAAAUGAUACUUCCUUUGUUGUCACAUGGACGAUACAAAAGCCAGCAAUAAUUCUUCAAGAUCCAAAAGAAAAAAAUAUACUACCUCAGAUUUUCAAGAAGGUGAACUAAAUAUUCGGUCUGCCCGUCUUCGAAUACCAGGUAUUGCAGAGACAGGCACUUGGACUUACAGCGUUCGAAACAAUCAUACCAAAUCUCAAUUGCUAACUGUGACAAUGACCACUCGAGCAAGAAGCCCUACCACACUCCCAGUAAUUGCAACUGCUCACAUGAGUCAAAAUACAGCUCAUUACCCUAGCCCAGUGAUUGUUUAUGCAUGAGUCAGUCAAGGGUUUCUUCCUGUUCUGGGAAUCAAUGUAACAGCCAUUAUAGAAAAUGAAGAGGGACAUCAAGUAACAUUGGAGCUCUGGGACAAUGGCGCAGGUGCUGAUUCUGUCAAGAAUGAUGGCAUCUACUCAAGGUAUUUUACAGAUUACCAUGGAAAUGGUAGAUACAGUUUAAAAGUGCUUACCCAGGCAAGAAAAAACACAGCUAGGCUAAGUCAACAACAGAAUAAAGCUCUGUAUGUACCGCGCUAUGCUGAAAAUGGAAAAAUUAUACUGAACCCAUCCAAACCUGAAGUCACAGAUGAUGUGGAAGGAGCUCAAACAGACGACUUCAGCAGACUCAUCUCUGGAGGGUCGUUUACUGUAUCAGGAGUGCCUCCUAAUGGUAAUCAUUCUCAGGUGUUCUCACCUGGUAAAAUUGUAGACCUCGAGGCUAAGUUUCAAGGAGAUCAUAUUCAACUUUCAUGGACUGCCCCUGGCAAGGUCCUCGAUAAAGGAAGAGCUGAGAGCUACAUUAUAAGAAUAAGUAAACAUUUCCUGGACCUCCAAGAAGAUUUUGAUAAAGCUGCUUUAAUAAAUACUUCUGGUCUGAUACCUAAGGAGCCUGGUUCAGUAGAAAGUUUUGAAUUUAAACCAGAACCUUCUAAAAUAGAGAAUGGUACGACAUUCUAUAUUGCAAUUCAAGCCAUCCAUGAAGCCAAUGUCACCUCAGAGGUUUCAAACAUUGCACAAGCAACUAACUUUAUUCCUCCACAGGAACCCAGCAUUCCUGAUCUGGGUACCAAUAUUUCUGCAAUCAGUUUGGCAAUUUUUGGAUUAGCUGUAAUUUUAUCUAUAUUUUAAACUAGAAAUUAUAUUAGAACUCAAAUUCAAUGUUAUACAUACUUGGUAAACAUUUAUUUAAAAUUUAAUUUACUAUACUUAUUGUCUAUUAUAAAGCUCAUUAUAAUAUAAAAGUGAAGUACAAAAGUUGUAAGUUUCCUAAUUACUUGAUUAAUUAAUACUAUUUGAGUUAUUAAAUGUUAAUCAAAAUGAGUAUAUCAUUUCCUGUCUUUGAAUAAUCCACUCAUUAAUUUUUAAUAUGAAAAGAUAUAUAUUUGUACUUGUAAGCAUUUUAAGAAACAUUUUUAAAGUGUGCUACAAAUUCAUUUGGUGUACUAACAUCAAAAUGUAUCCAAGCCAUUUAAAAAAUAUUUAUAUAUACAUAGUAGCAAAUAGUUUUAUAGAUUUAUUUGUAUCGCAUUUUUUAUUACAAAUGAAUAUUUCAUGUUUAUAUAAGCUGUAAUCAAAAAGGACUAGUAGUAGUAGUAAGGAAGUCAAAUUUGUUUUUUUAUCAUUGAUUAUAAGUGGUAUAUUUGUUUUUUGUCAUUGAUUAAAAGUGAUUUUAGCCCUAGGCCCGAAAUGACUAGCAAAUAUCAUUUUCUGUAUGAAUUGUGGAACAUCACAAUAAAAUUAUUUCUGUGCUGAUGCUA